AGGCUGCUCGAUUGCUAUCAAAAUUUAAAGAUGGAGGGAUACUUGAAUUAAAGGAUGUAGCUCGAGAGCUAGUUCAAAUCCCUGUUAAUCGUGUUAACUUCGUCUCUUCUUGAGACAUCGAUGAUGAACUUAUUGAUAAAUUGCUCUCAUUUACUUUUUAGUAGAUUAGAAGAGUAGAAAAAACUCCAUAUAUUUGCGGUAAAUUGAAUAUAUAUUUAUUGGUUAUCAUACUGUACACAUUUUUCUUCUAAUUUAAUUGCAACUAACUUA
Molecule: long non-coding RNA, 270 nt
Filed under: Olea europaea (common olive)
Lineage: Eukaryota; Viridiplantae; Streptophyta; Magnoliopsida; Lamiales; Oleaceae
Description: long non-coding RNA (OEUR_LNC009656)
Source: RNAcentral